This 423-nucleotide ribosomal RNA is filed under the name uncultured bacterium. RNAcentral describes it as "bacterial SSU rRNA". It matches the Rfam family "Bacterial small subunit ribosomal RNA", at positions 506 to 927 of the family's 1533-position model. The record is from RNAcentral.
CGCCAGCAGCCGCGGUAAUACGUAGGGGGCGAGCGUUGUCCGAAUUUAUUGGGCGUAAAGCGCGUGUAGGCGGCUCUUUAAGUCAGAUGUGAAAUCCUGCGGCUCAACCGCAGAACUGCAUUUGAUACUGGAGGGCUUGAGUGUGGGAGAGGAAAGUGGAAUUCCAGGUGUAGCGGUGAAAUGCGUAGAUAUCUGGAGGAACACCCGUGGCGAAGGCGGCUUUCUGGCCCACCACUGACGCUGAGACGCGAAGGCUAGGGGAGCGAACGGGAUUAGAUACCCCGGUAGUCCUAGCGGUAAACGAUGGAUACUAGGUGUUAGAGGUAUCGACCCCUCUAGUGCCGUAGCUAACGCAUUAAGUAUCCCGCCUGGGGAGUACGGCCGCAAGGUUGAAACUCAAAGGAAUUGACGGGGGCCCGCACA